UCUAGUUUUAGCAACUUUUGAAUUUACUAUGUUACCAAUUACUGAGACUAAUAUAACAGUGCAGUUGUAUAAUGUACAUUUCAGUCUGUUAAGCGAAACACAAAACCAACUCAUUUGAAUGAUUUGUUGCCCAUAAUCUUGCAUGGUAUAUGUCAGUAAUUGGUAACAAAUGGAGGACAUAUGAUCCAUUCCAAAGGGUUGUUACUCAUAAUUUUGUAUGUGUCUAUUGCCUUAUUGCUGAAGAGAAAACAAUGGGGUUCUGAAACUGCCCUUCUAGCAAAUGAUUGGCAGUACCUCUCAACAUAAUAUUUAAUAAUUUCCCUAUGAUAUUUCAUGAAAGCAAGAUAAAACAUGGUUCAUUUUGAAGGCACAAUCAAGCCUCUAAAGCUGCAGUCUUGUCUUGUGACUUGAUUCAUACAGUUCCUGUCUUACAUUAUCUUUCACUCUUUGGCCUACCAUACACAUGCUGCAUCAUUGGGUACUCUGGCCCUACCAGCCGUUUUCAGAAAUUUCUCUGGAUAAGGGAAAGAGGAAGUUUGCCCCAGCUGCCUGUAUUAAGAGUUUCCAAGUUGCCUAAUUUUCCUGCAGUUAUGCUAGGCUGUCCACCCACAGGCAAGUCAUAUUUGUACAGUCACCAUGUCCUUCAGGAUCUGUGAUGGAGAAGUCCAGUAAUGGUCAGCCCAUGGGCUUGAACUGAGAGGAGAGUGUCACUGGAACCAAUAGUCAAGACCAGCCAGACAAAAAACUGUUGUAAUACCAGGCAGGAUGGAUUGGAUGGGACUGUCAAAAACAAACUUCAGGAAUCCAGACACUGGGAGUGCUGCUCAUGAGAUUUUUAUUCAGGACCUGCAAAUUUUCUCAAAGAUGACUGAGCAUCUCUUUGGAAAUGAACCUUUUAAUUCUGCAAUGAUCCAGGAGAGUAACAGCUGUUCUACAGAAGCCACAAACUUCACCUGGCAGACUUCAACUCAGGGAGUGGCCCUUUGACAUCAGCUACCUGUCACAUGACAAGAAAUUGACUUUGGGGUACUGUGAUUGGGGGAUUGGCUUGAACUUUGGGUUGUUUUCAUUGCUUGUAUGUGUUUUUGCGCUUACUCAAAACUUUAACAAUAUUUUAUAUUUGGUGAUAUGUCAGAAUGCUUAUUUAUGUAUGUACUGUAUGUGUAUUCUACAGAGUGGAAGGCAGAAGUAUCAGGCUGAUUGGUCUAUUCAGUAUGUACCUUUUCUCUGAGACUCUCCCACACCCCUCUGUUUACUGCGUGAAUGAGUUCCUCCAGCCAAAACUAUUCGGUUUUUUUCUUGUCAUGUUAUCUUAGUUGAGCCAAUUAUACUUUUAUUAUAUUUAGAGUCAAGAUGAGGCCCCAAGAAUGAGUGUAGCCUGCAAUGGAUCAUUAAUAUCCUUUUGCUGCAGAGAAUACAGUUUUUAAAAAACUCUUUAAAUAAUUUUAUUUUCUCCUUUAUGUUAUUAACAAGUAGCCCACUGCUAAGCAGUUUAGAAAACCAGAAGAAACAAAAAUAUUUUUAUUUACACACAUGUAUAAAAAUAUAUAUACUCAGGUAAGCAUUUAUCUUUCCAUUAAGUUGCCCAACUUUAAGAGUGCCAAAGGUAAAUAAAUCAAAUAUCUGUGUAUUUAAUUGAGAGGGCUAGCUCAUUUUGUUAAAAAUCAUAUUUAACAAUUUUUGCUGACCAACAUGUGCUAAUGAAAUUCAACUUAAAGUUAUAGGCAGUUCAUAUGACAAAAAGCAUUGUAUGUGGCUACAUAGGAGUAUUCCUUAAACAGAAUCUGCUUUGUGCUUAGGACCUUGCUGGGUUUACAGUUUCAACAGUAAGCAGCAAUAAAGAUCAAGAAAAUUCCUAACUUGUCUAACAGCUGCUCUAUAAUGGCACGGGAUGGGAGGGAAAUCACCAUUUUUUUAAACAGCAGAGUCAACUGGGAGUACAUUGUACAUCUACUCAGUGCUUGGAUAAAAAGUGCUAAGACAGCAAGAUACUUGGCUAAUUACCUUUGAUUUUUAAGAAACCCACAAAACACAAAAUAUGUACUUGUCCAUGUAAUAGAUUUAAUCCACAAAUAACCUGAACUAUCUUUCAAAUAAUGUAAUUUUAAAAACCUACUGUUGGGUUCCCCUGAAGUAUCUUCAUAUCAGUAGAUCCCACUUGUAGAUUUUUAUAAUUCACAGUGAACACUAGCAUGAUGAAGGAAGCUGUGGUUCUGCCAUGUGCAACAUUGGCAGAGUUCUGAGCUAUAGCAUCUGAUGCAUUAAGUAGAGGGGUUUGGUAGGGAGGAAUGGGGUUUCCAAGCCAUUACAGAAGUUCUCACCCUUUGUUAAUCUCUCCCCUUUGUUUAGGGAAGCAUUCUAAAGGUAGUAGGUGAUUUCAUAUCUCCCUGAGAAGUGAUCCUUUAAGCCACUUUCUGAAGGCCAGACAUAGUUACACAUUUGGGGAUUGUAGAAGUGGUAUGAGAAAUCUCUUGAUACUCCCAACAUUAAGAUAGAGGUGGGGUGACUUGCAUGGUUGUACAGAAGAUCAGACCAGAAGUCAGUAGGACCAAAAUUAGAAGCAACAGGCACACACUGUGUUCCUAGUGAAGCAUGCAUUUGAAACUUGGUCCUUUAUAUCUGAGGCAUCUUUCAUAAUACCACACCACUAAGUCUUAUAAAAGAUUUGUUAUA
Molecule: long non-coding RNA, 2673 nt
Organism: Artibeus jamaicensis (Jamaican fruit-eating bat)
Lineage: Eukaryota; Metazoa; Chordata; Mammalia; Chiroptera; Phyllostomidae
Exons: 4
Source: RefSeq, a predicted model, not a curated record